GCCCGCCCCGUUGCCCGCCGCCCGCGACGACAGCAAAUAUCAAACCCCAGCAGGGCCUCCGGGAAGGUUGCGGGCGGCAGUGGUGCCUCCGGCCGCACGCCCAUUCUUGUCUACUGACCCGGUUGCCUCGGCGGGCCGCGCCUGCUGUGCUACAGCGGCCGUUCGGGGGGGACGCCUGAGGGGGACUCUUGUUUCCUAGGCCACGCCCCGGGCAGCGCUCGCCGGAGGAUUACUCUGGAAAACACACUCUUGAAAGAACAUACCGUCUGAGCGAGCAACGCAAAUCAGUUAAAACUUUCAACAACGGAUCUCUUGGUUCCGGCAUCGAUGAAGAACGCAGCGAAAUGCGAUAAGUAAUGUGAAUUGCAGAAUUCCGUGAAUCAUCGAAUCUUUGAACGCACAUUGCGCCCCCUGGCAUUCCGGGGGGCAUGCCUGUUCGAGCGUCAUUUCAACCCCUCAAGCCCGGCUUGUGUGAUGGACGACCGUCCCCCCUCCCCAGUAACCACCCACCGCUUAGGGGGGUGGGAGGGAGGGGGACGCGCCCGAAAAGCAGUGGUCAGGCCGCGAUUCCGGCUCCUGGGCGAAUGGGACAUACCACCGCCUCCAGGACCGGCCGGCAGGCUGGCCUAACGCACCAUGUAUUAUUCAGGUUGACCUCGGAUCAGUAAGGAUACCCGCUGAACUUAAGCAUAUCAUAAAGCCGGAACGAAAGGUUG
Molecule: ribosomal RNA, 716 nt
Filed under: Microsporum canis
Lineage: Eukaryota; Fungi; Ascomycota; Eurotiomycetes; Onygenales; Arthrodermataceae
Description: eukaryotic LSU rRNA
Rfam family: 5.8S ribosomal RNA (bases 293-446)
Source: RNAcentral